Molecule: ribosomal RNA, 489 nt
Filed under: uncultured bacterium
Lineage: Bacteria
Description: bacterial SSU rRNA
Rfam family: Bacterial small subunit ribosomal RNA
Source: RNAcentral
GAUGAACGCUGGCGGCGUGCUUAAUACAUGCAAGUCGAACGGAGAACCUUUGUAGCAAUACGAGGGUUUCUUAGUGGCGAACGGGUGCGUAACGCGUUGGUGACCUGCCCCGAAGUGUGGGAUAACAGUUCGAAAGGAUUGCUAAUACCGCAUGUGGUUUUCCGGAUCAGAUGCCGGAUCUCUAAAGCAGUAAUGCGCUUCGGGAGGGACCUGCGUCCCAUCAGCUAGCUGGUGAGGUAACGGCCCACCAAGGCUACGACGGGUAGGGGACCUGAGAGGGUGGUCCCCCACACUGGCACUGAAACACGGGCCAGACACCUACGGGUGGCAGCAGUAGGGAAUAUUGGGCAAUGGGCGAAAGCCUGACCCAGCAACGCCGCGUGCACGAUGAAGGUCUUCGGAUCGUAAAGUGCUUUUCUGAGAGAUGAGAAAGGACAGUAUCUCAGGAAUAAGUCUCGGCUAACUACGUGCCAGCCGCCGCCGUAAAAC